RNAcentral lists this long non-coding RNA (1150 nucleotides) under Anser brachyrhynchus (Pink-footed goose). Its description in RNAcentral is "lncRNA (ENSABRG00000022236.1)". Lineage: Eukaryota; Metazoa; Chordata; Aves; Anseriformes; Anatidae. The record is from RNAcentral.
GGAGCUUUCAUAUUUACACCAGCUUUCUGAGAACCAAGCACAGCUCAGCCUGAGGCAUGCAGCACCUCAUGCACUCAAGAAAACAAAUUGCUGUCAUGAGAUAAAGAAGUCCAUAACAGACUGCAGUGAAUGCAGAUGCCUGUGUCAGUCAUACAGCCAGGUGUCCAGCAGAACUGAACGCCCGCAGUUCCCAAGCUCAAAAUGAAACCAGAGGCUAAGGCAGGAGCCAUCCACAGAAGCCCUGUGGGAGGGUAUUGAACACUUCAGUAGAAAUGGACAAGACCUCACAUAAAGAAGUUAACUUCCAGAAGACUAUAGCAAUUCAGCGUGUAACUACUUGCUUCAUUUAUUGCCUAUGGCCAGAGAUUAACCGCAAAAUAAGCUAAUAUGACACGAUCCAUGCCAAAGGAAAAACAAUGGGAUGUUUUGCGUAAAACUGUUUUGUGUCAUGGAAACUACCAGAGAGUUGUGCAUUCUUCAGAACGAUGGAGCUGGUGCUGUGACAUGUUUAUGUGAGAAGUCUAAACCCCUGAGAGAAACAGUUGAGAUUAAUUAUAGAAUGUCUCAAAACUGGAUGUCCAGCAGCUCAAAAGAUGUCAAAAUUAAAGGAACUGAUGUGAAAUAGGGAAUGUAAGUUGGAAUUGAAAGAAGAGUCACUGCUUAUAACAGUUGGUGGGAUGACUGCUUUCCAGUUUGACUUGAUUUUACAAGAGAAAAAUGGAGAGUGAAAGAGAAAGAAAAGGAGAGAAGACCAACAAAAGAAAAAAGGUAAGAAAGAAAAGACAAUCAAGGAGGGAUAUGUUUAAAAUUAUUAGUUGAUACUCUUCAGGGGAAGGAAACAGGCAUGGACUUAAACAUUUUAUGGAAGUUUUACUCCUUCCUAUUUAAGCACUGGGGCAGUAGAACAAUGGAAUUCAUUAGAGCAAUAGCUAGAGAAUAAGAGAUUUUCUGGAAGUCUCUCUGAUUUCUGUUCACUUUAUUUUCAAGUAAAUCAUGAGUUAAGGAAAGCACUUCUGGAGAGAGAGAGAAAUUUCUCCCUUUUUUGCCAAAGGGUCACCUUAGGAAUCGCCAUAUGCUUACACAAAUGAAGCCUCAAUCCACAACCACUCUCAGAAAUAAAACCUAUGCGUAUAAAAAGAUGAAGAGGAAC